This 90-nucleotide transfer RNA is filed under the name Nitrospirae bacterium 13_2_20CM_2_63_8. RNAcentral describes it as "tRNA-Ser". It matches the Rfam family "tRNA". From Rfam's summary of the family: Transfer RNA (tRNA) molecules are approximately 80 nucleotides in length. Their secondary structure includes four short double-helical elements and three loops (D, anti-codon, and T loops). Further hydrogen bonds mediate the characteristic L-shaped molecular structure. tRNAs have two regions of fundamental functional importance: the anti-codon, which is responsible for specific mRNA codon recognition, and the 3' end, to which the tRNAs corresponding amino acid is attached (by aminoacyl-tRNA synthetases). tRNAs cope with the degeneracy of the genetic code in two manners: having more than one tRNA (with a specific anti-codon) for a particular amino acid; and 'wobble' base-pairing, i.e. permitting non-standard base-pairing at the 3rd anti-codon position. Lineage: Bacteria; Pseudomonadati; Nitrospirota. RNAcentral also lists the same sequence under 4 other names. The record is from RNAcentral.
GGAGAGGUGCGAGAGUGGCCGAAUCGGGCGGUCUCGAAAACCGCUGUCCGGGCAACUGGACCGUGGGUUCGAAUCCCACCCUCUCCGCCA